AUUGAACGCUGGCGGCAGGCCUAACACAUGCAAGUCGAACGGUAACAGGAAGAAGCUUGCUUCUUGGCUGACGAGUGGCGGACGGGUGAGUAAUGUCUGGGAAACUGCCUGAUGGAGGGGGAUAACUACUGGAAACGGUAGCUAAUACCGCAUAACGUCGCAAGACCAAAGAGGGGGACCUCCGGGCCCCUUGCCAUCGGAUGUGCCCAGAUGGGAUUAGCUAGUAGGUGGGGUAACGGCUCACCUAGGCGACGAUCCCUAGCUGGUCUGAGAGGAUGACCAGCCACACUGGAACUGAGACACGGUCCAGACUCCUACGGGAGGCAGCAGUGGGGAAUAUUGCACAAUGGGCGCAAGCCUGAUGCAGCCAUGCCGCGUGUAUGAAGAAGGCCUUCGGGUUGUAAAGUACUUUCAGCGGGGAGGAAGGGAGUAAAGUUAAUACCUUUGCUCAUUGACGUUACCCGCAGAAGAAGCACCGGCUAACUCCGUG
This 490-nucleotide ribosomal RNA is filed under the name uncultured bacterium. Its description in RNAcentral is "partial 16S ribosomal RNA". It matches the Rfam family "Bacterial small subunit ribosomal RNA", at positions 30 to 507 of the family's 1533-position model. The record is from RNAcentral.